AGAUCAGCAGCUGUGACAUACAUAUGCUGCUUUGCAAUUUCUGUAGUACAAGAUAUGAAUGUUCUAUUGCAGUAUUGACAUUUGAUCAUACUGAAGGCAAACAAUCUUGUUUUUCAGAGGUUUGUCAAUGCAUUUCUGCAGGUACAAUUUAUUUUUUGCCUUUGAAUGAAAAUACAGUCACAACUGUCAAGGCUACAUGAAGAAUUCCAUGCAGCAGUACAACUCCUGUGUCUCUCUGGGGAGACGGGCACAGAGCAAGCUGUGGAAAAUUCCAAUUUUCCUAGUUCCAGCCUCACCACUGGAGCACACUUGGACUGGGCUGAUUGCAGAGAGAGUGCGCCCCAGCGCUGUGAGAGACAUGUAUCUUACUAGAUACAAGACUGAGGAGUCCUGGGUCACCUAUGCUCUUAGCAGUUUACAGAGCAAACUGAGUAACCUGCGAAGUGAGAGGGCUUUCGAAUCCAGCU
Molecule: long non-coding RNA, 467 nt
Filed under: Dromaius novaehollandiae (emu)
Lineage: Eukaryota; Metazoa; Chordata; Aves; Casuariiformes; Dromaiidae
Description: lncRNA (ENSDNVG00000007166.1)
Source: RNAcentral